RNAcentral lists this ribosomal RNA (465 nucleotides) under uncultured bacterium. RNAcentral's name for it is "partial 16S ribosomal RNA". It matches the Rfam family "Bacterial small subunit ribosomal RNA", at positions 28 to 507 of the family's 1533-position model. The record is from RNAcentral.
GAUGAACGCUGGCGGCGUGCUUAACACAUGCAAGUCGAACGGAAAGGCCCCUGCUUGCAGGGGUACUCGAGUGGCGAACGGGUGAGUAACACGUGGGUGAUCUGCCCUGCACUUCGGGAUAAGCUUGGGAAACUGGGUCUAAUACCGGAUAGGAUUUUGGGUUGGAUGCUAUUGUGGAAAGUUUUUCGGUGGGGGGUGGGCUCGCGGCCUAUCAGCUUGUUGGUGGGGUAAUGGUCUACCAAGGCGUCGACGGGUAGCCGGCCUGAGAGGGUGUACGGCCACAUUGGGACGGAGAUACGGCCCAGACUCCUACGGGAGGCAGCAGUGGGGAAUAUUGCACAAUGGGCGCAAGCCUGAUGCAGCGACGCCGCGUGGGGGAUGACGGCCUGCGGGUUGUAAUCUCCUUUCGCUAGGGACGAAGCGAAAGUGACGGUACCUGGAGAAGAAGCACCGGCUAACUACGUG